RNAcentral lists this long non-coding RNA (204 nucleotides) under Elaeis guineensis (African oil palm). RNAcentral's name for it is "long non-coding RNA (EGUI_LNC068069)". Lineage: Eukaryota; Viridiplantae; Streptophyta; Magnoliopsida; Arecales; Arecaceae. The record is from RNAcentral.
AAGAGAUAUAGUUUCUACCUUGCUAAAGAACAAAUAUUGUUCGAUAUUUUUUUUAAAAAAAGAGUACCUUGGUGAAGGAACUGAUGCUUCUAAUACAGAACUUAUGAAGUUUGACAGGUAGAAGAAUUGACAUAAUCUAGUGAACCCAUAGAACUAGAUUUGAUUAGAUCAAACUCAGAAUCCAUUAUAGAGGCACCACAAAGG